ACCGCCCGUAGAGUUUGAUCCUGGCUCAGGACGAACGCUGGCGGCGUGCCUAAUACAUGCAAGUAGAACGCUGAAGGAGGAGCUUGCUUCUCUGGAUGAGUUGCGAACGGGUGAGUAACGCGUAGGUAACCUGCCUGGUAGCGGGGGAUAACUAUUGGAAACGAUAGCUAAUACCGCAUAAGAGUAGAUGUUGCAUGACAUUUGCUUAAAAGGUGCAAUUGCAUCACUAAGAGAU
This 235-nucleotide ribosomal RNA is filed under the name bacteria symbiont BFo1 of Frankliniella occidentalis. RNAcentral describes it as "partial 16S ribosomal RNA". It matches the Rfam family "Bacterial small subunit ribosomal RNA", at positions 1 to 226 of the family's 1533-position model. The record is from RNAcentral. Lineage: Bacteria; Pseudomonadati; Pseudomonadota; Gammaproteobacteria; Enterobacterales; Erwiniaceae.